RNAcentral lists this ribosomal RNA (512 nucleotides) under uncultured Pseudomonadota bacterium. RNAcentral's name for it is "bacterial SSU rRNA". It matches the Rfam family "Bacterial small subunit ribosomal RNA", at positions 538 to 1050 of the family's 1533-position model. Lineage: Bacteria; Pseudomonadati; Pseudomonadota. The record is from RNAcentral.
GCGUUGUUCGGAAUUACUGGGCGUAAAGCGUACGUAGGCGGGUUGUAAGUUAGAGGUGAAAUCCCAGGGCUCAACCCUGGAACUGCCUUUAAUACUGGCAACCUGGAGUUCGAGAGAGGUGAGUGGAAUUCCGAGUGUAGAGGUGAAAUUCGUAGAUAUUCGGAGGAACACCAGUGGCGAAGGCGGCUCACUGGCUCGAUACUGACGCUGAGGUACGAAAGUGUGGGGAGCAAACAGGAUUAGAUACCCUGGUAGUCCACGCCGUAAACGAUGUCAACUAGCCGUUGGGACACUUGAUGUCUUAGUGGCGCAGCUAACGCGAUAAGUUGACCGCCUGGGGAGUACGGUCGCAAGAUUAAAACUCAAAUGAAUUGACGGGGGCCCGCACAAGCGGUGGAGCAUGUGGUUUAAUUCGAAGCAACGCGAAGAACCUUACCUACACUUGACAUCCAGAGAACUUUCUAGAGAUAGAUUGGUGCCUUCGGGAACUCUGAGACAGGUGCUGCAUGGCU